GAUGAACGCUGGCGGCGUCCUUAACACAUGCAAGUCGAACGAAGCACCUCUCCCGAAGAUUGCCACAGCUUGCUGUAGAUUGAUUCAUUUGAGGUGACUGAGUGGCGGACGGGUGAGUAACGCGUGGGUAACCUGCCUCAUAGAGGGGGACAACAGUUGGAAACGACUGCUAAUACCGCAUAGUAAGAAGAAUUCGCAUGUUUUCUUCUUGAAAGAUUUAUCGCUGUGAGAUGGACCCGCGUCUGAUUAGCUAGUUGGUAAGGUAACGGCUUACCAAGGCGACGAUCAGUAGCCGGCUUGAGAGAGUGAACGGCCACAUUGGGACUGAGACACGGCCCAAACUCCUACGGGAGGCAGCAGUGGGGAAUAUUGCACAAUGGGGGAAACCCUGAUGCAGCGACGCCGCGUGAGUGAAGAAGUAUUUCGGUAUGUAAAGCUCUAUCAGCAGGGAAGAUAAUGACGGUACCUGACUAAGAAGCCCCGGCUAACUACGUG
Molecule: ribosomal RNA, 495 nt
Filed under: uncultured bacterium
Lineage: Bacteria
Description: partial 16S ribosomal RNA
Rfam family: Bacterial small subunit ribosomal RNA
Source: RNAcentral